AUGAACGCUGGCGGCGUGCCUCAUUCAUGCAAGUCGAGCGAACAGAUGAGGAGCUUGCUCCUCUGACGUUAGCGGCGGACGGGUGAGUAACACGUGGAUAACCUACCUAUAAGACUGGGAUAACUUCGGGAAACCGGAGCUAAUACCGGAUAAUAUAUUGAACCGCAUGGUUCAAUAGUGAAAGACGGUUUUGCUGCCACUUAUAGAUGGAUCCGCGCCGCAUUAGCUAGUUGGUAAGGUAACGGCUUACCAAGGCAACGAUGCGUAGCCGACCUGAGAGGGUGAUCGGCCACACUGGAACUGAGACACGGUCCAGACUCCUACGGGAGGCAGCAGUAGGGAAUCUUCCGCAAUGGGCGAAAGCUUGACGGAGCAACGCCGCGUGAGUGAUGAAGGUCUUCGGAUCGUAAAACUCUGUUAUUAGGGAAGAACAAAUGUGUAAGUAACUAUGCACGUCUUGACGGUACCUAAUCAGAAAGCCACGGCUAACUACGG
RNAcentral lists this ribosomal RNA (495 nucleotides) under uncultured bacterium. RNAcentral's name for it is "partial 16S ribosomal RNA". It matches the Rfam family "Bacterial small subunit ribosomal RNA", at positions 29 to 506 of the family's 1533-position model. The record is from RNAcentral.